GACGUUUCAGCUUGUGUGUCUUGUUCAGUGGUGGUCGUCUUUCAGCCUCUCUUACCUUGGCCAUGUCUCUGAGUAUUGCACACCUUGUGCUUUUGGGCACUCCAGUGAUGUUGCAGCUCUGAAAUAUGGCCAAACUGGUGGCAAGUGGCAUCGUGGCAGCUGCACGCUUGACUUUUCUCAGUUCAUGGGCGGUUAUUUUGC
Molecule: non-coding RNA, 201 nt
Organism: Pelobates cultripes (western spadefoot toad)
Lineage: Eukaryota; Metazoa; Chordata; Amphibia; Anura; Pelobatidae
Source: the annotation of a GenBank genome assembly